RNAcentral lists this ribosomal RNA (254 nucleotides) under uncultured bacterium. RNAcentral describes it as "partial 16S ribosomal RNA". It matches the Rfam family "Bacterial small subunit ribosomal RNA", at positions 524 to 776 of the family's 1533-position model. The record is from RNAcentral.
CACGUAGGCACCAAGCGUUGUCCGGAUUUAUUGGGCGUAAAGAGCUCGUAGGCGGUUCGGUAAGUCGGAUGUGAAAACUUUGGGCUCAACCCAAAGCGUGCAUUCGAUACUGCCGUGACUUGAGUUCGGUAGGGGAGUGGGGAAUUCCUAGUGUAGCGGUGAAAUGCGCAGAUAUUAGGAGGAACACCGGUGGCGAAGGCGCCACUCUGGGCCGAAACUGACGCUGAGGAGCGAAAGCAUGGGGAGCGAACAGG